GGCGUCACCAAGACUGACGUACGCCGGAAAAUCGCGAUCUAAUGUUCCGGCACCGACGGUUGUAAUCCAUGGAGACGUAUUUGACAAGCUGUAAGGACUGGGGCCGGCAUUUCCGGCAGAGCAAGAAAUGAGGAUGCCUUUCUCCAUGGCAGCGAAUGCGCCGGUGGCAACACUGUCCUUGUAAUAAUCGGAUACUCCACCGCCAAGCGACAAGGAAAGGACAUUAACAUUGUCCACCACAGCCUUUUCAAUGGCGGCUACGAUAUCGGAGCUGAAACAUCCACCGGUCCAGCAAACCUUGUAGGCGGCGACCCUCGCACGCGCGGCCAUCCCACGGGCGGUGCCGGAGGCAUACCCAAAUAGGCUCGCGUUUUCAACUACAGAACCGGCGGCAGUUGUAGCGGUGUGGGUUCCAUGGCCAUCGUCAUCUCUCGGAGAUCUCGAUUCUUUCGAUUCAUCGAUCGGACCGAGAGUCGCCUCGUAGCCCUUGGAGAAAAAUCUAGCUCCAAUCAGCUUCCUGUUGCAGUUCGACGCACUGAAAUUAGUACCUGAUUCACACUCACCCUUCCAGCUACUCGGUAUCGGUCCAAGCCCAGUAUCAUCGAAGCUUUUACUCUCCGGCCAAAUCCCAGUAUCCAAAACUCCGAUGAUGACCUCCGACACAGAAUUGGAUUCAGGGUAAAGAUUUGCAUUCUUGUCGAGUCCAAGAAACUGCGGAGUACGAGUUGUAUGAAGUUCAUAUCUCAUCUCGGGCACCACAGCCAGAAUCCCAGGUUGGGCCUCGAGCCGCUGAGCUUCAUCCGCCGUCAAUCUGGUUGAAAACCCAUGAACGACGUUGUUGUAAGCAUAGAUCAUCUCAGCAGUAUCGGACACGGAUCUGAGUGAGGAGUCGUACCAGUGCAAGUGGUGUUCAAAACUCUCGGGCAUUUGGUAUUUAGCCAUAUGCACGAUGUAAGUCUUCUUC
RNAcentral lists this unclassified non-coding RNA (964 nucleotides) under Hevea brasiliensis (rubber tree). Lineage: Eukaryota; Viridiplantae; Streptophyta; Magnoliopsida; Malpighiales; Euphorbiaceae. The record is from RNAcentral.